RNAcentral lists this transfer RNA (72 nucleotides) under Enterococcus sp. Its description in RNAcentral is "tRNA-Arg". It matches the Rfam family "tRNA". From Rfam's summary of the family: Transfer RNA (tRNA) molecules are approximately 80 nucleotides in length. Their secondary structure includes four short double-helical elements and three loops (D, anti-codon, and T loops). The record is from RNAcentral. Lineage: Bacteria; Bacillati; Bacillota; Bacilli; Lactobacillales; Enterococcaceae.
GCCUUCAUAGCUCAGCGGAAGAGCGUUUCGCUACGGACGAAAAGGUCGGGGGUUCGAAUCCCUCUGGGGGCA